CGGACGGGUGAGUAACGCGUGAGGAACCUGCCUCAGAGAGGGGGAUAACACACCGAAAGGUGUGCUAAUACCGCAUAACAUAUGAGAGGGGCAUCCCUUUUAUAUCAAAGAUUUAUUGCUCUGAGAUGGCCUCGCGUCCAAUUAGCUAGUUGGUGAGGUAACGGCCCACCAAGGCGACGAUUGGUAGCCGGACUGAGAGGUUGAACGGCCACAUUGGGACUGAGACACGGCCCAGACUCCUACGGAAGGCAGCAG
RNAcentral lists this ribosomal RNA (255 nucleotides) under uncultured bacterium. RNAcentral's name for it is "partial 16S ribosomal RNA". It matches the Rfam family "Bacterial small subunit ribosomal RNA", at positions 99 to 354 of the family's 1533-position model. The record is from RNAcentral.